CUUAACCGACAGACUGCGUUUGAAACUGGUUAUCUUGAGUGUAACAGAGGAGAGUGGAAUUCCUAGUGUAGUGGUGAAAUACGUAGAUAUUAGGAAGAACACCAGUGGCGAAGGCGACUCUCUGGGUUAACACUGACGCUGAGGUACGAAAGCUGGGGGAGCGAACGGGAUUAGAUACCCCGGUAGUCCCAGCCGUAAACGAUGGAUACUAGGUGUUGGAGGUUCGAAUCCUUCAGUGCCGGAGUUAACGCAUUAAGUAUCCCGCCUGGGGAUUACGGUCGCAAGACUGAAACUCAAAGGAAUUGACGGGGGCCCGCACAAGCGGUGGAGCAUGUGGUUUAAUUCGAAGCAACGCGAAGAACCUUACCGAGAAUUGACAUCCCGUGACCAUCUAUGAGAGUAGAGUUUGUCACUUUGUGACACAC
This 425-nucleotide ribosomal RNA is filed under the name uncultured bacterium. RNAcentral's name for it is "bacterial SSU rRNA". It matches the Rfam family "Bacterial small subunit ribosomal RNA", at positions 608 to 1029 of the family's 1533-position model. The record is from RNAcentral.